UGGGGAAUAUUGGGCAAUGGGCGCAAGCCUGACCCAGCCAUGCCGCGUGAGUGAUGAAGGCCUUAGGGUUGUAAAACUCUUUCGCUAGGGAAGAUAAUGACGGUACCUAGUAAAGAAGCCCCGGCUAAUUUCGUGCCAGCAGCCGCGGUAAUACGAAAGGGGCUAGCGUUGUUCGGAAUUACUGGGCGUAAAGCGCGCGUAGGCGGGCUAUCAAGUUGGGGGUGAAAUCCCGGGGCUCAACCCCGGAACUGCCUCCAAAAGAGUUAGCCUAGAGGUUGUGAGAGGAUAGUGGAAUUCCGAGUGUAGAGGUGAAAUUCGUAGAUAUUCGGAAGAACACCAGUGGCGAAGGCGACUGUCUGGCACAUUUCUGACGCUGAGGUGCGAAAGCGUGGGGAGCAAACAGGAUUAGAUACC
RNAcentral lists this ribosomal RNA (414 nucleotides) under uncultured prokaryote. RNAcentral describes it as "bacterial SSU rRNA". It matches the Rfam family "Bacterial small subunit ribosomal RNA", at positions 355 to 786 of the family's 1533-position model. The record is from RNAcentral.